Molecule: non-coding RNA, 83 nt
Organism: Armillaria mellea
Lineage: Eukaryota; Fungi; Basidiomycota; Agaricomycetes; Agaricales; Physalacriaceae
Source: the annotation of a GenBank genome assembly
UGCCCCAUGGCUGAGUUGGUUACAGCGUCCGACUGUUAUGUAUUGAUAUCGGAAGGUCGAGAGUUCGAGCCUCUCUGGGGCAG